Molecule: ribosomal RNA, 565 nt
Filed under: uncultured Bacteriovorax sp.
Lineage: Bacteria; Pseudomonadati; Bdellovibrionota; Bacteriovoracia; Bacteriovoracales; Bacteriovoracaceae
Description: bacterial SSU rRNA
Rfam family: Bacterial small subunit ribosomal RNA
Source: RNAcentral
AACGAACGCUGGCGGCGGGCCUAAUACAUGCAAGUCGAACGAGAAAGCACCUUCGGGUGUGAGUAGAGUGGCGCACGGGUGAGGAACGCGUAGGUGAUCUACCUUUUGGCGGGGAAUAACUAGAAGAAAUUUUAGCUAAUACCGCGUAAGCAGUUUUGUUUGAAGACUUAACUGGAAAGAAUGCCUCUGCAUAUGCAUUCACCGAAAGAUGAGCCUGCGUGACAUUAGCUUGAUGGUGGGGUAACGGCUUACCAUGGCGACGAUGUCUAGCUGGUCUGAGAGGAUGAUCAGCCACACUGGAACUGAGACACGGUCCAGACUCCUACGGGAGGCAGCAGUAGGGAAUAUUGCGCAAUGGGGGAAACCCUGACGCAGCCACGCCGCGUGAGUGAGGAAGGCCUUCGGGUUGUAAAGCUCUGUCAGAAUGGAAAAAUGGUUUAGGGUCUAAUAGGCCCUAGAUUUGAUGGUACAUUCAAAGGAAGCACCGGCUAACUUCGUGCCAGCAGCCGCGGUAAUACGAAGGGUGCAAGCGUUGUUCGGAUUUAUUGGGCGUAAAGCGCACGUA